This 568-nucleotide ribosomal RNA is filed under the name uncultured archaeon. Its description in RNAcentral is "bacterial SSU rRNA". It matches the Rfam family "Archaeal small subunit ribosomal RNA", at positions 311 to 879 of the family's 1478-position model. The record is from RNAcentral.
CCGCGAUUCGCCCUUCGGGGUGCAGCAGGCGCGAAAACUUUACAAUGCGGGAAACCGUGAUAAGGGGACACCGAGUGCCAGCAUCAUAUGCUGGCUGUCCGGGUGUGUAAAAUACACCCGUUAGCAAGGGCCGGGCAAGACCGGUGCCAGCCGCCGCGGUAACACCGGCGGCCCGAGUGGUGAUCGUGAUUAUUGGGUCUAAAGGGUCCGUAGCCGGUUUGGUCAGUCCUCCGGGAAAUCUGACGGCUCAACCGUUAGGCUUUCGGGGGAUACUGCCAGGCUUGGAACCGGGAGAGGUAAGAGGUACUACAGGGGUAGGAGUGAAAUCUUGUAAUCCCUGUGAGACCACCUGUGGCGAAGGCGUCUUACCAGAACGGGUUCGACGGUGAGGGACGAAAGCUGGGGGCACGAACCGGAUUAGAUACCCGGGUAGUCCCAGCCGUAAACGAUGCUCGCUAGGUGUCAGGCAUGGCGCGACCGUGUCUGGUGCCGCAGGGAAGCCGUGAAGCGAGCCACCUGGGAAGUACGGCCGCAAGGCUGAAACUUAAAGGAAUUGGCGGGGGAGCAC